CGGGAAAAGCUCAAAUUUAAAAUCUGGUGGCCCUUCCGCCAAUCGAGUUGUAAUUUAGAGAAGCGUCUUCCGCGCUGGACCGUGCAUAAGUCUCCUGGAACGGAGCGUCAUAGAGGGUGAGAGUCCCGU
This 129-nucleotide ribosomal RNA is filed under the name Russula sp. RNAcentral describes it as "partial large subunit ribosomal RNA". It matches the Rfam family "Eukaryotic large subunit ribosomal RNA", at positions 99 to 224 of the family's 3401-position model. The record is from RNAcentral. Lineage: Eukaryota; Fungi; Basidiomycota; Agaricomycetes; Russulales; Russulaceae.